Non-coding RNA from Fibrobacter sp., 73 nucleotides. NCBI's taxonomy places the organism in Bacteria, Pseudomonadati, Fibrobacterota, Fibrobacteria, Fibrobacterales, Fibrobacteraceae. The record is from Rfam.
GGCGGUUUAGCUCAGUCGGUAGAGCAACGGAAUCAUAAUCCGUGUGUCUGUGGUUCGACCCCACAAACCGCUA